RNAcentral lists this transfer RNA (69 nucleotides) under Stictochironomus juncaii. RNAcentral's name for it is "tRNA-Asp". The record is from RNAcentral. Lineage: Eukaryota; Metazoa; Arthropoda; Insecta; Diptera; Chironomidae.
AAAAAAUUAGUUAAACACGAUAACAUUAGAUUGUCAAGCUAAAAUUAUUUAAAAUAUAAAUAUUUUUUA